This 359-nucleotide long non-coding RNA is filed under the name Monodelphis domestica (gray short-tailed opossum). RNAcentral's name for it is "lncRNA (ENSMODG00000041289.1)". The record is from RNAcentral. Lineage: Eukaryota; Metazoa; Chordata; Mammalia; Didelphimorphia; Didelphidae.
AGUCUGUCCUUUAUGUAGUCAUAUGAGAGAUCCAAGGUUAUUUUGUGGCCUGAGUGCUAGCUGCCAGGAGCAAAAUGAGAACUGAAAACAAUUCAGUUGUCCUAACCCAAUCAGGAGAGAGGACUAGGGAACUUAUUACUGAUGCUGGAGGUGGAUGGGGAACACAAGUGAAGAAAGAGAAGGAAGAUUUGCAGAAUAUCAAUAUUUCUUUCCAACUCCUGCCUUCCACUCCCAAAUAAAAGCAAUAGAAAUGUUUUUUUAAUCAGAAAUCAAAAGAAAAACAUUUUAAAUAAGAAAACAUUUAGAGAGAAAAAAGGAGAACUCAGAACAUAGUAAUAAAAGUGAAUCCCAAAGGAACA